CUUGCGACCAUCGCCAUCGCCGUGCUGUAGCGAAAGAAAAAAAACCGCCGCAAAACAGUCAAGACGGAGGCGCGCGCGUUUUUUCCGUAAAAAAUACCACAAAAAUAUAAAUAAAAUCAAGAAAAACGCCGCCAAAACACACACAAAAAAUAAAUAAAAUUAGUGUUAUCUGCAAAAGUGCCCCUAAAAUCCCCUGCUGCCAGCAACACCCCCCAUCUAUAAAAGUGUAUCUGUGUGUGUGCGCGAGUGUUUGUGAGUGUGUGAAAAAUGCAUUAAUUACAGCAAUUCCAAGGCGAAAGAGCUACAGCAAAAAAAAAUACCAGCAAAUAAAAUACCACAGCAAAUACAAUCAAAUACAAACAAAAACAAAAAAGGAAAAAGCAAAUAUAUAAAAAUACCAACAAAUAAUGCAAUUUUUUUGUUGUUUUCUCAAUACAAAAAUAAUUUUUUGUGAUGCUUUUUCUGUUGAAUGAAAUUCGUAGAAAAGCCGCAAUAAAAAAUCCCCCCAAUUUGUUGUGUCUCCAAACGAGUAAUAGUAUAUAAUAAAUAACAUAUAAACGGUAAUAUUUGGACUCGCGAUUCGGUUCGGGAUCGUUGGGCCAUAGCUUAGGAGCCCCCACCGUUAAAGAACUGUACCGGUCGAUCGUUACGUCGCUUCUUUGGAGGUUUUUCGAAAAAAUACCAGCAAACAAAUACAACCAGGAAAAUGCGUAAAUUUCGAAAACAGUCCAAAACGGGUGUACAAUAAGCCGACAAAAAACAGGAUCCCUUAGCAGUUAAGGAACACCUCAUCAAUGGUCUCUCACUUCAAUUGUGCAAAUCCUCCAU
Drosophila guanche is the source of this 828-nucleotide long non-coding RNA. RefSeq lists it as uncharacterized. Lineage: Eukaryota; Metazoa; Arthropoda; Insecta; Diptera; Drosophilidae. The record is from RefSeq and is a predicted model, not a curated record. The transcript is spliced from 3 exons.